RNAcentral lists this ribosomal RNA (253 nucleotides) under uncultured bacterium. RNAcentral's name for it is "partial 16S ribosomal RNA". It matches the Rfam family "Bacterial small subunit ribosomal RNA", at positions 524 to 776 of the family's 1533-position model. The record is from RNAcentral.
GACGAACCGAGCGAACGUUAUUCGGAAUCACUGGGCUUAAAGGGCGCGUAGGCGGGCGGCCAAGUCAGAGGUGAAAGCCCCCAGCUCAACUGGGGAAGUGCCUUUGAUACUGGUCAUCUUGAGGGAGAUAGGGGCGUGCGGAACUUCCGGUGGAGCGGUGAAAUGCGUUGAUAUUGGAAGGAACGCCGGAGGCGAAAGCGGCGCACUGGAUCUCUUCUGACGCUGAGGCGCGAAAGCUAGGGGAGCAAACGGG